Non-coding RNA from Pelobates cultripes (western spadefoot toad), 207 nucleotides. Lineage: Eukaryota; Metazoa; Chordata; Amphibia; Anura; Pelobatidae. The record is from the annotation of a GenBank genome assembly.
GCUGUCCCUACUUGGAAUAGGGUUCUCUGCCAACCAUUCAUCCAUCCAAACCAUCUGUCCCAUACAUCAGUGACCCCUGAAUUAUUUUGUAAUUCAUCUGAGAGGCUGUCUAAUUUCUCUAUUGCCAUAGUUACCUUACCAUUGGGCCCAGUGUUGUCUGGAAUAAAAGUACAACAUGUGAUGGUCUCGGGGAGGAUUUUACAUACG